This 287-nucleotide ribosomal RNA is filed under the name uncultured Sphingomonas sp. RNAcentral describes it as "partial 16S ribosomal RNA". It matches the Rfam family "Bacterial small subunit ribosomal RNA", at positions 1094 to 1382 of the family's 1533-position model. Lineage: Bacteria; Pseudomonadati; Pseudomonadota; Alphaproteobacteria; Sphingomonadales; Sphingomonadaceae. The record is from RNAcentral.
GAGCGCAACCCUCGCCUUUAGUUGCCAUCAUUUAGUUGGGCACUCUAAAGGAACCGCCGGUGAUAAGCCGGAGGAAGGUGGGGAUGACGGUCAAGUCCUCAUGGCCCUUACGCUUGGGCUACACACGUGCUACAAUGGCAACUACAGUGGGCUGCAAGACCGCGAGGUUGAGCUAAUCUCCAAAAGUUGUCUCAGUUACGGAUUGCACUCUGCAACUCGAGUGCAUGAAGGCGGAAUCGCUAGUAAUCGCGGAUCAGCAUGCCGCGGUGAAUACGUUCCCAGGCCUU